This 458-nucleotide ribosomal RNA is filed under the name uncultured bacterium. RNAcentral's name for it is "partial 16S ribosomal RNA". It matches the Rfam family "Bacterial small subunit ribosomal RNA", at positions 28 to 507 of the family's 1533-position model. The record is from RNAcentral.
GGUGAACGCUGGCGGCGUGCUUAAGACAUGCAAGUCGAACGGGCUCUUCGGAGCCAGUGGCGCACGGGUGAGUAACGCGUAACGGACCUACCCCAAAGUCGCGGAUAACGAUUCGAAAGAAUCGCUAAUACGUGAUGGGCUGUCAGAUCCUGUUCUGCCAGUAAAGAUUUAUUGCUUUGGGAUGGGGUUGCGUUCCAUCAGCUAGUUGGUGGGGUAAAGGCCCACUAAGGCGACGCCGGAUCGCCGGCCUGAGAGGGUGGCCGGCCACAGGGGCACUGAGACCCGCGUCCCGCUCCUGCGGGGGGCAGCCGUUAGGAAUCUUCCACAAUGGGCGACAGCCUGAUGGGGCGACGCAGCGUGAGGGAUGAGGGUCUUCGGGUCGUAAGCCUCUGACUCAGGGACGAAAGACGCGACAGCGGGAUGCCGGUACCUGAGUAAUAGCACCGGCUAACUCCGUG